This 125-nucleotide small RNA is filed under the name Marmota monax (woodchuck). The record is from RNAcentral. Lineage: Eukaryota; Metazoa; Chordata; Mammalia; Rodentia; Sciuridae.
GCCGGGCACGGUGGCGCACACCUGCAAUCCCAGUGGCAUUGGAGGCUGAGACAGGAGGAUAGUGAGUUCAAAGCCAGCCUCAGCAACAGUGAGGCACUAAGAAACUCCAUGAGACCCUGUCUCUA